UCCUCGCGCCUCUUCCCUAUCUCCCCCGAACAACCGCAUCGUGGUCGCCAUGGACCUCAUCGAUCCCGCGGCCACAGGCCUCCCCGUCACCAGCUAGCAUGCCCGGGAGCUUCCCUGCGGUCGCCUCCUUCGACUACACCGAAGAACUUGUGCCGGAGGCCCCAUAGCCUCGCCAUCGUCCUCAUCUUCUCCCACGGGCACCGACAUCCAUCGCCGGUUCCCGCUACUCCGGGCCGCCCCCGACCUCCCAACCUCGUCCACAAGCACUGGGGUGAGCCUCUCUGCCGAUUCCCUCGCUUUGCCCCUUCGAUCUAUGCCGUUUGUUGCCACUCUCAUGCUCGUCUAUAGUCGCCAUGGCCGGAGCCCGAGCUACUCUGUACGUGCUGAUGUCGCUUCUGUUACUGGUGCGUGCUGCGUGCCCGCCUCCCCGCACCGGGCCACGCCCCGCACAGCGCCCCACCGUCGCUCGCGCUACCCCCCUCCUGCUGCACCGGCCCACCGCGACCGCGGCCGUCUCCGGCUGGCCACGUCGUGGCCACGGCCCCGUCGGCGCUCGCUGCCGCCCCCUUCCCUCCCCACGCGCGGUUGCGGCCGCCCCAUGCCCGCUCGCCGGUCGUCCCCUUUGCCCCACUGCUGUCGGUGCAGCUCGUUCCACCCGCGUGACCCCGCGUCGCCUGGAGCCGGCCGCCGCGGCCUGUCAUCCUCGCCGGCGCCCCGCUGACCUUGCCCCACACCUGGGCGGGUUCGGCCUCCGCCCGGGGCAGCACCCGCCCGUUAACCACCCGCUCAAGUGGCCUAAUGGGCCACUGAUUAGUGGGGUCCAUCCCCUGUUAUAAGUAAAAAAAAAAGAUAUAAAAAAUAAUUAAAAUAAUUAAUAAAUUCAUUAAUCAAUAAUUAACUUAAUUAACCUCACUUAAUUAUCUUAAUUAACUAGGUUAGUUAAAAUCAAAAGCUGUUUAGUUAUCAGUCUAUGACAGGAUGGACCCACCUGUCAGUUUGACUAGUCAACAGGUCAACGUUGACUGCUGACAUCACCCUGACGUCAUGCUGAUGCAGUAUUUCUUUUUAAUAAUAAUUUUAGAAUAUUGUUUAAAUCUUUGAAAAAUCAUAGAAAAUUAAUCGUCGCUCGGAUCGAAAAACUUUGUACAUGAAAGUUGCUCAGAACGAUGAGACAAAUCCGAAUACGCGGUCCUUUCAUCCGCCACACGUCCCUAGCAUAGCAAACGUUGAAUUCCCCCUCCGGUUCAUCUGUUUGACAGACGUUUGGAUCCGGGAAAACUUUCCCGGAUGUUUCCCCCUUCGCCAAUAUCGCCUAGUGCUGCUUUAGAACACCUCUAGCCUCGCUUAUUGUCAUGUUAUGCAUAUGUUUGCGUGUAUUAACUAUUUUCGCCCUCUUCUCCCCGGUAGACCACGAGACCACUGCUGAUGCCAUUGUGAUCGACUACGUUGACGACGACCCUCCUUCUUGUCUGAGCAACCAGGAAAGCCCCCCCAUUGAUCAUCCCGAUAUCGCCCAUUCCAUUAUCUCAUGCUUGCAUUAGAUUUUGCUAUUGUUAUUGUUUGCUCCUAUUCUGAUGCAUAGCCUGCUUUUGUACCUACUUAUUGUUACCUACUUGCUUAUCCUAAACUGAUUAGUAUAGGUUGCCUAGUGAUCCAUCAGUGACCCCCACUUGUCCUUCUUGCCCUGGCUUCGUCAUCGACGCCUCGAUCGACGUGAUCGACGACCAGAGCUCGACACCUCACAUCACAUCACGCCCCUUUAGUUGCUCGACUCUGCAGAGCUACUAUCGAGUGCCGAGGGUGAUCCCUCAUAAUGCACUCCUGAUGAUAAUUCUGUAGCGUAGCUAUUCGGUCAUGGUCAUCUAGGGUGAUUUCCUCUUUCACCAUUCUCUAUACGGCUCUGUCGUUCAACACCUGAGGUGUGAACCUCGAGGGUGGUCCCUCUUACAUUCACCUUGAUGAUUACAUUGAGUGGAAUCCACCGGGGGUGAUUCCUCAGGUUUUCUCCUUGAUGUUUGGACACACGGUUACAAUGACUUUACUUCAGACCCUGGUGGAAUUCGGGCGGGCCCGGAGAGCACCCGCAAGAUAAUGACGUGGCACGGCCGGGCAUUCUAGGCCCUCGUCGUAAGUCCACGAGACGGGGCGACGGGGUCACUUUCGAUCGUGAGUCUCUGCUCGUCUUCGCAAGCUAAUAAUACACUAUGGUUUGGGUAUUUGUUCUGAGUUGGCCUUUGGCCUUUACGCACUAACCACCACGCGAGAAUAGUUAUGGGCCUCGAUGUCGUGGUAUCAUCCGAAGCUUUGUCAGACGUCCAGUUCAGCAUUGUGGCACGGUCGGAUCGGGCUGGCCAUCCGAGGCGGUGCUGGUAUCAGCCCUACACACAACGACCCGGAGUGCUCCGGGCGAUGGGCCCAAGACCCCGGAGUGCUUAGGAUGUAGAGCGGCGGGGACCUCUCUACUGAGCCUAGGUAGGGAUGUGACGUGUUGAUCUUUCGAGGGCGGGCAUUGACCCCAGAAAGGUGUGUCCGGCCAGAGUGAUCGAGCGUGUUGGGUAACGUGGUGCACCCCUGCAGGGAAGAUUAUCUAUUAAUAGCCGUGUCCACGGUAACGGACGUUCAGACAUAUAUCCUGAUCUUAUACAACUUCAAAUGGAUACUUGAAUAUGUGGCUCCGGGAUUGCUUUCUCGCGGGGAGUCGAGGAAGGAUCUCUGGGCAUUAAUGUUACAACUUGUUUGUUAACUAAAAAUUGUUAUUGUUUACUCUUCUACAUGCCACAAGAUGCUCGGAGCUGCUUGAAGAUGCUAGUCUUUGAUAGGCUAGGCCUUCCCCCUCUAUUCUGGCAUUCUACAGUCCAGUCCACAGAUACAACCCUUCCAUUUGAUACCAAUGCAUACUUAGUAUAGAUCUGAUGCUUGCGAGUACUUUGGAUGAGUACUCACGGUUGCUUUGCUCCCCCUUUCCCCCUUCUUUCUUCUUUCUGGUUGUUACAACCAGAUGGUGGAUCCCAGGAGCCAGAUGAUGCCACCCCCGCCGACUACUACUACUACCAAGAGGGUGCCUUAUUCUACAUGGAGCCCGCCGACGACCAGGAGUAGUUAGGAGGUCCUAGUCAGGAGGCCUUGCCUCUUCGAUCGUGUUGCUUUUGUGCUAGCCUUCUUAAGGCAAAACUUGUUUAACUUAUGUUUGUACUCAGAUAUUGUUGCUUCCGCUGACUCGCUUGUGUAUCAAGCUUAUGUAUUCAAGCCCUCGAGGCCCCUGGCUUGUAAUAUAAAGCUUGUAUUAUUUUGAUUUGUGUCUAGAGUUG
This 3308-nucleotide long non-coding RNA is filed under the name Triticum aestivum (bread wheat). RNAcentral describes it as "long non-coding RNA (TAES_LNC002784)". The record is from RNAcentral. Lineage: Eukaryota; Viridiplantae; Streptophyta; Magnoliopsida; Poales; Poaceae.